AUUGAACGCUGGCGGCAGGCCUAACACAUGCAAGUCGAACGGUAACAGGAAACAGCUUGCUGUUUCGCUGACGAGUGGCGGACGGGUGAGUAAUGUCUGGGAAACUGCCUGAUGGAGGGGGAUAACUACUGGAAACGGUAGCUAAUACCGCAUAACGUCGCAAGACCAAAGAGGGGGACCUUCGGGCCUCUUGCCAUCGGAUGUGCCCAGAUGGGAUUAGCUAGUAGGUGGGGUAACGGCUCACCUAGGCGACGAUCCCUAGCUGGUCUGAGAGGAUGACCAGCCACACUGGAACUGAGACACGGUCCAGACUCCUACGGGAGGCAGCAGUGGGGAAUAUUGCACAAUGGGCGCAAGCCUGAUGCAGCCAUGCCGCGUGUAUGAAGAAAGCCUUCGGGUUGUAAAGUACUUUCAGCGGGGAGGAAGGGAGUAAAGUUAAUACCUUUACCCAUUGACGUUACCCGCAGAAGAAGCACCGGCUAACUCCGUG
RNAcentral lists this ribosomal RNA (490 nucleotides) under uncultured bacterium. RNAcentral's name for it is "partial 16S ribosomal RNA". It matches the Rfam family "Bacterial small subunit ribosomal RNA", at positions 30 to 507 of the family's 1533-position model. The record is from RNAcentral.